CUCGAAAACCGGUACCCACGUUCGGACUGCAGGCUGCAACUCGCCUGCACGAAGCCGGAGUUGCUAGUAAUCGCGGAUCAGAAUGCCGCGGUGAAUGCGUUCCCGGGUCUUGUACACACCGCCCGUCACGCCAUGGGAGUUGGUUCUGCCUGACGGCGUUGAGGUAACCCGCAAGGGAGCCUGGCGACCACGGUAGGGUCAGCGACUGGGGCGAAGUCGUAACAAGGUAGC
This 231-nucleotide ribosomal RNA is filed under the name uncultured bacterium. Its description in RNAcentral is "partial 16S ribosomal RNA". It matches the Rfam family "Bacterial small subunit ribosomal RNA", at positions 1273 to 1500 of the family's 1533-position model. The record is from RNAcentral.